AAAUUGAAGAGUUUGAUCAUGGCUCAGAUUGAACGCUGGCGGCAGGCCUAACACAUGCAAGUCGAACGGUAACAGGAAGCAGCUUGCUGCUUUGCUGACGAGUGGCGGACGGGUGAGUAAUGUCUGGGAAACUGCCUGAUGGAGGGGGAUAACUACUGGAAACGGUGGCUAAUACCGCAUAACGUCGCAAGACCAAAGAGGGGGACCUUCGGGCCUCUUGCCAUCAGAUGUGCCCAGAUGGGAUUAGCUUGUUGGUGAGGUAACGGCUCACCAAGGCGACGAUCCCUAGCUGGUCUGAGAGGAUGACCAGCCACACUGGAACUGAGACACGGUCCAGACUCCUACGGGAGGCAGCAGUGGGGAAUAUUGCACAAUGGGCGCAAGCCUGAUGCAGCCAUGCCGCGUGUAUGAAGAAGGCCUUCGGGUUGUAAAGUACUUUCAGCGGGGAGGAAGGUGUUGUGGUUAAUAACCGCAGCAAUUGACGUUACCCGCAGAAGAAGCACCGGCUAACUCCGUGCCAGCAGCCGCGGUAAUACGGAGGGUGCAAGCGUUAAUCGGAAUUACUGGGCGUAAAGCGCACGCAGGCGGUCUGUCAAGUCGGAUGUGAAAUCCCCGGGCUCAACCUGGGAACUGCAUUCGAAACUGGCAGGCUUGAGUCUUGUAGAGGGGGGUAGAAUUCCAGGUGUAGCGGUGAAAUGCGUAGAGAUCUGGAGGAAUACCGGUGGCGAAGGCGGCCCCCUGGACAAAGACU
This 751-nucleotide ribosomal RNA is filed under the name Salmonella enterica subsp. enterica serovar Kentucky. Its description in RNAcentral is "bacterial SSU rRNA". It matches the Rfam family "Bacterial small subunit ribosomal RNA", at positions 1 to 741 of the family's 1533-position model. The record is from RNAcentral. Lineage: Bacteria; Pseudomonadati; Pseudomonadota; Gammaproteobacteria; Enterobacterales; Enterobacteriaceae.